UGGGGAAUAUUGGACAAUGGGCGCAAGCCUGAUCCAGCCAUGCCGCGUGAGUGAUGAAGGCCCUAGGGUUGUAAAGCUCUUUCAACGGUGAAGAUAAUGACGGUAACCGUAGAAGAAGCCCCGGCUAACUUCGUGCCAGCAGCCGCGGUAAUACGGAGGGGGCUAGCGUUGUUCGGAAUUACUGGGCGUAAAGCGCACGUAGGCGGACCAGAAAGUUGGGGGUGAAAUCCCGGGGGCUCAACCCCGGAACUGCCUCCAAAACUAUUGGUCUAGAGUUCGAGAGAGGUGAGUGGAAUUCCAAGUGUAGAGGUGAAAUUCGUAGAUAUUUGGAGGAACACCAGUGGCGAAGGCGGCUCACUGGCUCGAUACUGACGCUGAGGUGCGAAAGUGUGGGGAGCAAACAGGAUUAGAUACCCUGGGUAGUCCACACCGUAAAACGAUGAAUGCCAGUCGUCGGGUAGCAUGCUAUUCGGUGACACA
RNAcentral lists this ribosomal RNA (480 nucleotides) under uncultured bacterium. RNAcentral's name for it is "bacterial SSU rRNA". It matches the Rfam family "Bacterial small subunit ribosomal RNA", at positions 355 to 850 of the family's 1533-position model. The record is from RNAcentral.